CGCGGCCUAUCAGCUUGUUGGUGAGGUAACGGCUCACCAAGGCGACGACGGGUAGCCGGCCUGAGAGGGCGACCGGCCACACUGGGACUGAGACACGGCCCAGACUCCUACGGGAGGCAGCAGUGGGGAAUAUUGCACAAUGGGCGAAAGCCUGAUGCAGCGACGCCGCGUGAGGGAUGACGGCCUUCGGGUUGUAAACCUCUUUCAGCAGGGAAGAAGCGAAAGUAGCGGUACCUGCAGAAGAAGCGCCGGCUAACUACGUGCCAGCAGCCGCGGUAAUACGUAGGGCGCAAGCGUUGUCCGGAAUUAUUGGGCGUAAAGAGCUCGUAGGCGGCUUGUCACGUCGGAUGUGAAAGCCCGAGGCUUAACCUCGGGUCUGCAUUCGAUACGGGCUAGCUAGAGUGUGGUAGGGGAGAUCGGAAUUCCUGGUGUAGCGGUGAAAUGCGCAGAUAUCAGGAGGAACACCGGUGGCGAAGGCGGAUCUCUGGGCCAUUACUGACGCUGAGGAGCGAAAGCGUGGGGAGCGAACAGGAUUAGAUACCCUGGUAGUCCACGCCGUAAACGUUGGGAACUAGGUGUUGGCGACAUUCCACGUCGUCGGUGCCGCAGCUAACGCAUUAAGUUCCCCGCCUGGGGAGUACGG
This 643-nucleotide ribosomal RNA is filed under the name uncultured Actinomycetes bacterium. RNAcentral describes it as "bacterial SSU rRNA". It matches the Rfam family "Bacterial small subunit ribosomal RNA", at positions 232 to 885 of the family's 1533-position model. The record is from RNAcentral. Lineage: Bacteria; Bacillati; Actinomycetota; Actinomycetes.